GAUGAACGCUGGCGGCGUGCCUAAUACAUGCAAGUCGAGCGAACAGACGAGAAGCUUGCUUCUCUGAUGUUAGCGGCGGACGGGUGAGUAACACGUGGAUAACCUACCUAUAAGACUGGGAUAACUUCGGGAAACCGGAGCUAAUACCGGAUGAUAUUUUGAACCGCAUGGUUCAAAAGUGAAAGACGGUUUUGCUGUCACUUAUAGAUGGAUCCGCGCUGCAUUAGCUAGUUGGUAAGGUAACGGCUUACCAAGGCAACGAUGCGUAGCCGACCUGAGAGGGUGAUCGGCCACACUGGAACUGAGACACGGUCCAGACUCCUACGGGAGGCAGCAGUAGGGAAUCUUCCGCAAUGGGCGAAAGCCUGACGGAGCAACGCCGCGUGAGUGAUGAAGGUCUUCGGAUCGUAAAACUCUGUUAUUAGGGAAGAACAUAUGUGUAAGUAACUGUGCACAUCUUGACGGUACCUAAUCAGAAAGCCACGGCUAACUACGUG
This 497-nucleotide ribosomal RNA is filed under the name uncultured bacterium. RNAcentral describes it as "partial 16S ribosomal RNA". It matches the Rfam family "Bacterial small subunit ribosomal RNA", at positions 28 to 507 of the family's 1533-position model. The record is from RNAcentral.